RNAcentral lists this ribosomal RNA (254 nucleotides) under uncultured bacterium. Its description in RNAcentral is "partial 16S ribosomal RNA". It matches the Rfam family "Bacterial small subunit ribosomal RNA", at positions 524 to 776 of the family's 1533-position model. The record is from RNAcentral.
UACAGAGGGUGCGAGCGUUGUCCGGAAUCACUGGGCGUAAAGGGCGCGUAGGUGGUGGCUUAAGCGUGCGGUGAAAGCUCGGGGCUCAACUCCGAGUCGGCCGUGCGAACUGGGCUCACUGGAGCAUAGUAGAGGCAGGUGGAAUUCCGGGUGUAGCGGUGGAAUGCGUAGAGAUCCGGAAGAACACCGGUGGCGAAGGCGGCUCACUGGACCGGUACUGACGCUGAUGCGCGAAAGCGUGGGGAGCAAACGGG